CUGACCAUCGAUGGUUGCUAGAGCGUGGAUAGGCUACCCAGCAACAUCUGCAUGGAAACUUAAACUUGACCAGGAUUGAGCACAUUCCUUAAUACUAUUCCAGCUCUUAAGAAGACCUGUUUUGUCAAGGACUAAAACUCUGCACAGACAGAAUUAGCAUCAAUUGUUCCCGCAAGACCUGUUCCAGCGAGUUUCUCCGGAAUUCCGAUGGACAGACCCGUUCCAGCGAGUUUCUCCGGAAUUCCGAUGGACAGAUGGCAAGACUUCAAGACAGGCUGAAGAAGAAGAUGAAGAACUAACCGCAGCAUGCCAUGGGGAAUAGUGGAUGGCCAACACUUUAAUCUUUGGAGUGCACUCCACUUGAAGAACUUUCUGUUGGUUUUAUAGAAGAGCAGCAUGUCAUGAUCCAGGCUAUUUCAAGUAGGAAUAGGCCUGUUAAUAAGUAGUGUGAUAUCAAUGUAUGUGAUAUCAAGAUAUCUGAGUGAUGUAUCAAUGGAUGUGAUGCCAAUGCUUCUGUGUAAUAUCAAUGUAUUUCCUGUAGGAAAAUUGUCUCUCAGGGAUUAAUGUUACCUGGCUGCUAAGUAAUAAACUGGGUAGAGUUUGCAUUGAUCUGCCAAGUAUGGCUCUGAGUAAAUAAGCUGUGCAGCUAUUCACAGCAUGAAACACUGGAAGGACAGUUUGUAGAUAGGUUUUCCUGUGUGCUGUACUGGUCCAGGGUCACUUCUGACAAACUAUGUGUUAGGUCA
Long non-coding RNA from Pseudophryne corroboree (corroboree frog), 746 nucleotides. RefSeq lists it as uncharacterized. The transcript is spliced from 5 exons. The record is from RefSeq and is a predicted model, not a curated record. NCBI's taxonomy places the organism in Eukaryota, Metazoa, Chordata, Amphibia, Anura, Myobatrachidae.